Notechis scutatus (mainland tiger snake) is the source of this 93-nucleotide non-coding RNA. NCBI's taxonomy places the organism in Eukaryota, Metazoa, Chordata, Lepidosauria, Squamata, Elapidae. The record is from RefSeq and is a predicted model, not a curated record.
GGAAAAAUUGUAUGCUGUGAUACAUAUGUUGCAAAGAGAAGGGAGACAUUGAACAAAGCAGCACCCACUAAUUAAAAUAGCACAAAUAAUGAC